AUGCUCGUCCUGAACAGCCCGUCGUCGCGGAGGCUCAUGUGCCGCGUCACCGACCUGUUCACGGCCGCCGGGUACAGCCUGGCCAACGCCUGCAACGGCUUCCUCCUCUUCGCGCCGCGCAUCCACGACUGGCCCCUUUUCGUCUGCAACCCCGUCACCGGCGAGAAGCUGCUUCUCUCGGAGGCGCCCUCGGUCCAACACGAGGUCAGCUACGCCCUGGGGUUCAGCCCUUCCACCCGCCGGUACAAGCUCUUCCGCCUCUCCUUCCCGCCCAAUGGCUGUUACAUGGACGUGCGCACCUUAGGCGGCAGUGGCGACCAGCUGUGGCGCAGGUACCCGGACCCGCUCCAAUGUCGAGCAGUCUCAGCACCGUCUCCGGCGCUCGUAGGCGGCAAGAUCUACUUAACAUGUGGCGAGGGGAUAUUGGUGAUGGACGUGGCAACCGAGGCGCACUGCACCUACCCCCUCCCCAUGCACGAGGGGGAGAAGCUCGCCUUCGAGCUGCGCGGCCGGCUGUGCGUCGCGGUGCACGUCGUCGCCCAAUGCAAGCUCUUCUUCUGGGUAUUGCAUCUCGACCAAGACAAGAAGGAUGGUACACCCUUGCUUGACUGGGAACUACGCUACACCUUCCACAUGGUCCAUGGCGGCGACAACAAUGACGGUGAAGACCAGCCGAGGGGCGCUGGAUUCGACGACCGUAACGGGAUGCUAUGCUACAGGAUGAGUGACCGUCUUCACAGGUACAACACCACCGAGAACGACCAUCAUCAUAAGGUUGGUGCUUUGUUGGAAUGGAACAACAUAAGCCAACUGCCCAACAAAGAUUGGUGGAACGUCUAUGGCGGUUACCGUCCCACCCUAGUCUCGCCACGUUCCCUCCUUGUUGACCCCCUUGCUGAGCACCGCCACAAAGAAUUUGAGGACUCUCUGUUAGCUGCUUUGCGUGAUCCAUAA
RNAcentral lists this ribosomal RNA (954 nucleotides) under Triticum aestivum (bread wheat). RNAcentral's name for it is "partial small subunit ribosomal RNA". The record is from RNAcentral. Lineage: Eukaryota; Viridiplantae; Streptophyta; Magnoliopsida; Poales; Poaceae.